Molecule: ribosomal RNA, 1072 nt
Filed under: Chryseobacterium daecheongense
Lineage: Bacteria; Pseudomonadati; Bacteroidota; Flavobacteriia; Flavobacteriales; Weeksellaceae
Description: bacterial SSU rRNA
Rfam family: Bacterial small subunit ribosomal RNA
Source: RNAcentral
UUGGACAAUGGGUGCAAGCCUGAUCCAGCCAUCCCGCGUGAAGGACGACGGCCCUAUGGGUUGUAAACUUCUUUUGUACAGGGAUAAACCUAGAUACGUGUAUCUAGCUGAAGGUACUGUACGAAUAAGCACCGGCUAACUCUGUGCCAGCAGCCGCGGUAAUACGGAGGGUGCAAGCGUUAUCCGGAUUUAUUGGGUUUAAAGGGUCCGUAGGCGGAUCAGUAAGUCAGUGGUGAAAUCUCAUAGCUUAACUAUGAAACUGCCAUUGAUACUGCUGGUCUUGAGUAAGGUAGAAGUAGCUGGAAUAAGUAGUGUAGCGGUGAAAUGCAUAGAUAUUACUUAGAACACCAAUUGCGAAGGCAGGUUACUAUGUCUUAACUGACGCUGAUGGACGAAAGCGUGGGGAGCGAACAGGAUUAGAUACCCUGGUAGUCCACGCUGUAAACGAUGCUAACUCGUUUUUGGGUUUUCGGAUUCAGAGACUAAGCGAAAGUGAUAAGUUAGCCACCUGGGGAGUACGAACGCAAGUUUGAAACUCAAAGGAAUUGACGGGGGCCCGCACAAGCGGUGGAUUAUGUGGUUUAAUUCGAUGAUACGCGAGGAACCUUACCAAGGCUUAAAUGGGAAUUGAUCGGUUUAGAAAUAGACCUUCCUUCGGGCAAUUUUCAAGGUGCUGCAUGGUUGUCGUCAGCUCGUGCCGUGAGGUGUUAGGUUAAGUCCUGCAACGAGCGCAACCCCUGUCACUAGUUGCCAUCAUUAAGUUGGGGACUCUAGUGAGACUGCCUACGCAAGUAGAGAGGAAGGUGGGGAUGACGUCAAAUCAUCACGGCCCUUACGCCUUGGGCCACACACGUAAUACAAUGGCCGGUACAGAGGGCAGCUACACAGCGAUGUGAUGCAAAUCUCGAAAGCCGGUCUCAGUUCGGAUUGGAGUCUGCAACUCGACUCUAUGAAGCUGGAAUCGCUAGUAAUCGCGCAUCAGCCAUGGCGCGGUGAAUACGUUCCCGGGCCUUGUACACCCCGCCCGUCAAGCCAUGGAAGUCUGGGGUACCUGAAGUCGGUGACCGUAAAA